GCCUGGGUGGCUCAGUAAGUUAAGCGUCUGACUUUGGCUCAGGUCAUGAUCUCCCGGUUGGUGGGUUUGAGCCCCAUGUCAGGCU
This is a non-coding RNA of Felis catus (domestic cat), 85 nucleotides long. NCBI's taxonomy places the organism in Eukaryota, Metazoa, Chordata, Mammalia, Carnivora, Felidae. The record is from Rfam.